AGCUCUGAGAUGAGCUUUAAUCGAACGAAGCUGAGCUUUCUCACUGUUUUCCAAUAGACCGCUGUUUGUUUAUGGAGCUGAGCUCCAGAAAAUGUUUGAGAUUGGCUCAAUUUUUAGCUAAGCCAUGCUCGAACGCGUAAAUAUUGAGCGGAGCCCAAGCUGGUCAUGAACAGCUUGGUUGUUUGCAGCACUAAUUCUUCCAACUCAUUUUUGCACACUUUCUCCUAUAGCUUUAUUUAGGGUUGCAUUUUUGCCUUGAUAGUGCCAGAGUUAUUUAGACUUCU
This 284-nucleotide long non-coding RNA is filed under the name Elaeis guineensis (African oil palm). RNAcentral describes it as "long non-coding RNA (EGUI_LNC011357)". The record is from RNAcentral. Lineage: Eukaryota; Viridiplantae; Streptophyta; Magnoliopsida; Arecales; Arecaceae.